Non-coding RNA from Streptomyces katrae, 106 nucleotides. Lineage: Bacteria; Bacillati; Actinomycetota; Actinomycetes; Kitasatosporales; Streptomycetaceae. The record is from Rfam.
AGAUGAGUGAGACAGACCGCUCCCGGGCAACCGGGGGCGAAACCGGUACAGGGCUUCCCCAGCGCCGUACUGGGCAUGCGUUCGCGCACACUCCUCUCCGAUCGGA